AACCCACUUUGAAGUGAAGUGGGGGGAAAAUGGGUUCUCUACUUGUAUCAACUUUUGUUUCUCUUGCAUUGGCUGUAAUGCUCUUUAGUUUGUCAUCUGAAGCAGACACCAUUAACCAUUUCAGAUCCCACUCUCCUGCAACUGAUGUAGACACCAUUAGCAAAUUCAGACUCCGCUCUCCUCCACCUAAAGUACCUCGCUCUUCUCCACCUAAAGCAGACACCAUUAACAAAUUCAUCUCCGACUCUCCUCUAGCUAAAGCAGACACCAUUAACAAAUUCAGACCCCGCUCUC
RNAcentral lists this long non-coding RNA (294 nucleotides) under Lupinus angustifolius (narrow-leaved blue lupine). RNAcentral's name for it is "long non-coding RNA (LANG_LNC003748)". The record is from RNAcentral. Lineage: Eukaryota; Viridiplantae; Streptophyta; Magnoliopsida; Fabales; Fabaceae.